Molecule: ribosomal RNA, 253 nt
Filed under: uncultured bacterium
Lineage: Bacteria
Description: partial 16S ribosomal RNA
Rfam family: Bacterial small subunit ribosomal RNA
Source: RNAcentral
UACGGAGGGUGCAAGCGUUGUCCGGAUUUAUUGGGUUUAAAGGGUGCGUAGGCGGCAGAUUAAGUCAGCGGUGAAAUUCCACAGCUCAACUGUGGAACUGCCAUUGAUACUGGUUUGCUUGAGUACAGAUGAGGUAGGCGGAAUUGACAGUGUAGCGGUGAAAUGCUUAGAUAUUGUCAAGAACACCUAUUGCGAAGGCAGCUUACUAAGCUGUAACUGACGCUGAGGCGCGAAAGCGUGGGGAGCAAACAGG